RNAcentral lists this long non-coding RNA (312 nucleotides) under Gallus gallus (chicken). Its description in RNAcentral is "long non-coding RNA NONGGAT004160". Lineage: Eukaryota; Metazoa; Chordata; Aves; Galliformes; Phasianidae. The record is from RNAcentral.
CAAACUCAAGAUAAUGUAGGCAGAAAGGAUGUGAUGAGAGAUGUUUAACUGCAGUUUUCAUUUCUUAUUCCUGAGAGACAUCCGUCAAAUGCCCACAGCAAGUUCGUCAUGAAAUGCCUUCUGACAGGAAUGGCAGCUUGCAGCCCACAGCUAUGAAGGAUGUUAUGAAGAUCAGCGCGAGGACAGUACAUGGGGCAAAUGCUGAGGGCUUGCGGCCGUGUCUGUGCUGUUAUCUCUCAUUCUGUUGGAACACUCCUGGAACGAUAAUUUGCUCAUAACUAGAGCCACACUUUAUGGGAAAAUGAAAGGCAG